GACAGAGGGUGCAAACGUUGUUCGGAAUUACUGGGCGUAAAGCGCGUGUAGGCGGCUUGGCAAGUCGGGUGUGAAAGCCCCGGGCUCAACCUGGGAAGUGCACUCGAAACUGCCUCGCUUGAGUACUGGAGAGGGAAGUGGAAUUCUCGGUGUAGAGGUGAAAUUCGUAGAUAUCGAGAGGAACAUCGGUGGCGAAGGCGGCUUCCUGGACAGUUACUGACGCUGAGACGCGAAAGCGUGGGGAGCAAAC
This 250-nucleotide ribosomal RNA is filed under the name uncultured bacterium. RNAcentral describes it as "partial 16S ribosomal RNA". It matches the Rfam family "Bacterial small subunit ribosomal RNA", at positions 524 to 773 of the family's 1533-position model. The record is from RNAcentral.